GCCGGCAUAGCACAACGGUAGUGCAGCAGUUUUGUAAACUGAAGGUUGGGGGUUCGAAUCCCUCUGCCGGCACCA
This 75-nucleotide transfer RNA is filed under the name Elstera cyanobacteriorum. RNAcentral's name for it is "tRNA-Thr". It matches the Rfam family "tRNA". From Rfam's summary of the family: Transfer RNA (tRNA) molecules are approximately 80 nucleotides in length. The record is from RNAcentral. Lineage: Bacteria; Pseudomonadati; Pseudomonadota; Alphaproteobacteria; Rhodospirillales; Rhodospirillaceae.